UACGUAGGGGGCUAGCGUUGUCCGGAAUCACUGGGCGUAAAGGGUUCGCAGGCGGAAAUGCAAGUCAGAUGUAAAAGGCAGUAGCUUAACUACUGUAAGCAUUUGAAACUGCAUAUCUUGAGAAGAGUAGAGGUAAGUUGAAUUUUUAGUGUAGCGGUGAAAUGCUUAGAUAUUAAAAAGAAUACCGUUGGCGAAGGCGACUUUCUGGCCAUUAUCUGACGCUGAGGAGCGAAAGCAUGGGGAGCGAACAGG
Molecule: ribosomal RNA, 252 nt
Filed under: uncultured bacterium
Lineage: Bacteria
Description: partial 16S ribosomal RNA
Rfam family: Bacterial small subunit ribosomal RNA
Source: RNAcentral